Molecule: long non-coding RNA, 199 nt
Organism: Poecilia latipinna (sailfin molly)
Lineage: Eukaryota; Metazoa; Chordata; Actinopteri; Cyprinodontiformes; Poeciliidae
Exons: 3
Source: RefSeq, a predicted model, not a curated record
AAAGUCACCGUUUUGUCUAUUUCAUUGAUGUUGUAUCUGAGCGAACUCGUCCUAGAGCUUUUGAGAUCCAGGCUUCAAACUCAGUCAGCACAGUCUUGAGGCUUUGAGGGUCAAAAGUUAUCAAAGGAAUUUUCCUAUGUCAAAGCAUGUGGGCGUGCCCAAGCCUCAAAUCUGACCAUUCGCCAUGAAAUCUCAAGAU